RNAcentral lists this ribosomal RNA (425 nucleotides) under uncultured bacterium. RNAcentral describes it as "bacterial SSU rRNA". It matches the Rfam family "Bacterial small subunit ribosomal RNA", at positions 354 to 796 of the family's 1533-position model. The record is from RNAcentral.
GUUAGGAAUAUUGGACAAUGGGCGCAAGCCUGAUCCAGCCAUGCCGCGUGAGUGAUGAAGGCCUUCGGGUUGUAAAGCUCUUUAGCCGAUGAUUAUAAUGACUGUAGUCGGAAAAUAAGCCCCGGCUAACUUCGUGCCAGCAGCCGCGGUAAUACGAAGGGGGCGAGCGUUAUUCGGAAUCACUGGGCGUAAAGCGUGCGUAGGCGGCUUUGCAAGUUGGGAGUGAAAGCCCAGGGCUCAACCCUGGAAUUGCUCUCAAAACUGCAAGGCUCGAAUUCGGGAGAGGAUAGCGGAAUUGUCAGUGUAGCAGUGAAAUGUGUAGAUAUUGACAGGAACACCAGUGGCGUAAGCGGCUAUCUGGACCGAUAUUGACGCUGAGGCACGAAAGCGUGGGGAUCAAACAGGAUUAGAAACCCUGGUAGUCC